AUUGAACGCUGGCGGCAUGCCUUACACAUGCAAGUCGAACGGCAGCACGGGAGCAAUCCUGGUGGCGAGUGGCGAACGGGUGAGUAAUGUAUCGGAACGUACCUUUCAGUGGGGGAUAACGUAGCGAAAGUUACGCUAAUACCGCAUAUUCUGUGAGCAGGAAAGCAGGGGAUCGCAAGACCUUGCGCUGAUUGAGCGGCCGAUAUCAGAUUAGCUAGUUGGUGAGGUAAAGGCUCACCAAGGCGACGAUCUGUAGCGGGUCUGAGAGGAUGAUCCGCCACACUGGAACUGAGACACGGUCCAGACUCCUACGGGAGGCAGCAGUGGGGGAAUUUU
RNAcentral lists this ribosomal RNA (336 nucleotides) under uncultured bacterium. RNAcentral's name for it is "bacterial SSU rRNA". It matches the Rfam family "Bacterial small subunit ribosomal RNA", at positions 30 to 366 of the family's 1533-position model. The record is from RNAcentral.